This 114-nucleotide ribosomal RNA is filed under the name uncultured eukaryote. RNAcentral's name for it is "partial small subunit ribosomal RNA". It matches the Rfam family "Eukaryotic small subunit ribosomal RNA", at positions 1675 to 1785 of the family's 1831-position model. The record is from RNAcentral.
GUCGCUACUACCGAUUGAAUGGCUUAGUGAGACCUCCGGAUUGGCGCUUCGCAGCUGUUUUGCAGCAGCAGAGUGCUGAAAAGCUGGUCAAAUUUGGUCAUUUAGAGGAAGUAA